CCUACGGGAGGCAGCAGUGGGGAAUAUUGGACAAUGGGGGGAACCCUGAUCCAGCCAUGCCGCGUGUGUGAAGAAGGCCCUCGGGUUGUAAAGCACUUUCAGUGAGGAAGAACGCCUGGUGGUUAAUACCCAUCAGGAAAGACAUCACUCACAGAAGAAGCACCGGCUAACUCCGUGCCAGCAGCCGCGGUAAUACGGAGGGUGCGAGCGUUAAUCGGAAUUACUGGGCGUAAAGCGCGCGUAGGUGGCUUGAUAAGCCGGUUGUGAAAGCCCCGGGCUCAACCUGGGAACGGCAUCCGGAACUGUCAAGCUAGAGUGCAGGAGAGGAAGGUAGAAUUCCCGGUGUAGCGGUGAAAUGCGUAGAGAUCGGGAGGAAUACCAGUGGCGAAGGCGGCCUUCUGGACUGACACUGACACUGAGGUGCGAAAGCGUGGGUAGCAAACAGGAUUAGAUACCCGGUAGUC
This 464-nucleotide ribosomal RNA is filed under the name Vreelandella stevensii. RNAcentral's name for it is "partial 16S ribosomal RNA". It matches the Rfam family "Bacterial small subunit ribosomal RNA", at positions 338 to 795 of the family's 1533-position model. The record is from RNAcentral. Lineage: Bacteria; Pseudomonadati; Pseudomonadota; Gammaproteobacteria; Oceanospirillales; Halomonadaceae.